GGGAUGAGCCGGUAGAAGAAAGCAGGUAAGCAGCGGCGGCCUACAUGUCUAUGGUUGGUACAUGCCGCCAUCUAAAACACUUACAAUGAACAUCAAUGUUUCUGAGCUUUGCUUGUUGAGCCUGUCGUUGCCAUGUAAGCCAGCCACGAAGUGUUCAGAAAAUAUCUGAAGUUAUAUUCUACAGUAGAAUCUAAUCACCUUAUUGUGGUUGUUUUCUGUGUCAGUCAUUAUUUGGAUAACAUCCUAUUGGAGAAUAUCGGUGAUGUUAAGACAUUGCAAGCAUUAUUUGAACUCGAAGCACUUCUUCUUACAAGUAUGCUCAUUUUAUAAUCGUUUCCUUGGUUGUGGUGGAUUAUUUAGUGAAUAUAAUUCCUUUUUUAGGUCAUUGCAUGAAAAAUAAGAAUACUUAUAUCACUGAAUUACUGGUGAUUUUCUAUCGGAAGCUAGUUCAGUUAGGCGCUUCUAACGUCUUAAGCUCUAUUUCUCUUCAGUUGCCCUUAAUUACCAGAUGUUGGGUAUUUUCUUCCAUGAAACUGCUCUUCAGUUUGAUAUAAUCUGCAGGAGCAAUCCAGGAGCAUGGCGUGUCACCUAUGUCCUAAUCAAGUGUGUAAUCUCCUAUUGAUUUUGCCUACUGAAUUAUAACAAGUUUUGAACUUUGUUGACUGAUUUUCCUUAUCCUGCUUGUUAGCUUUUCAUGUCAUUCUGCACGCUGCUCAUAGUGUGCAUUCCUUGUUAUUUGCUAAUGGUUGUACUGUACAAAGCUUGGUCUGUUAUUGAAACACAUAAGUGCGGCAGCAAAUUCAUAAUGUGCAUUUCUUGUUAUUUACUAAUGGUUGUACUAAACAAAGCAUGGUCGAAACACAUCCUUUAGUGGGGCACACUUAUAUAUGUCGAUUUUUCCUCCAGCUGUGUAUUACAUAUUGUGAUAAUUGUACGAAGGCUGCCAUAAAAGACACACAUGUCUUUAGAUCAGCAAUAUGCCAGGCAAAUAAUGGUCGAAACACAUACCUUAAUUUCUACUCUGUGUUCAGGCCCUAGCAGAGCUUGAACCUUCUUCAACAAAUAAUGGUAACCGAGUCUUAGUCGUCACUGGACCACAAUUCUUGAUAUCCUUCCAUGGACACUGGAAGUAAUAUGAGCUACAGAUAUGCAUCUCAAUGGGGGGUUAUUUCUUUCCUCAACAAGUUAUAGUAUAACAGGAGAGGUAAAGUGAACACACACCUUUGGUUUUAUGGUUCAUAGAACGUCACUGUAAUAUGUUUUAGGCUAAGCCGAAGCGGCGUUGGCACUGAAGAACUUCAGUCUUAUUCUGGAGUCUGAUGCAUUACAAAUUAUUGCUGUAUAUUGAUCUUGUACUCACAUGAAUAGGGUAAUGAUGCUGACCUGUGGCUUCACCUUCCAUGGAAAACUCUGGCACACCUUCCAUGGAAAACUCUGACUUGCCAGGAGGUGGUCGUCGCUUCCAGAGAUCGUCGCCGAUCCAGUAGUCGCUUCAAGAGACCGUCUCUCGAUCUGGUCGUCGCUUCCAGAGAUCGUCGCCCAGCCCGGUCGUCGCUUCCAGGGAUGGGGAUGCCUUCACCAAAUGAGGCAAAAUCUGGCUCGCAGAUAUGGGUCGUCCAUCUGGAAGGUUUCGGUUGUAUACAUGGAAAGAAUCCAACUUGAUAUGUGGAAGGUCUAGGCUGCAUACACGGAAAGACUACGUGAUCAUGAAUUGUGAUAUGAUUUCUACUAUACAUGGAAUACAUGUUAUGUGCAAAAGGAAAAGAAUUUGUUAGGGGUAUCGAUG
Molecule: long non-coding RNA, 1786 nt
Filed under: Triticum aestivum (bread wheat)
Lineage: Eukaryota; Viridiplantae; Streptophyta; Magnoliopsida; Poales; Poaceae
Description: long non-coding RNA (TAES_LNC017921)
Source: RNAcentral